RNAcentral lists this ribosomal RNA (469 nucleotides) under bacterium 1611-S2-01-2.3. Its description in RNAcentral is "bacterial SSU rRNA". It matches the Rfam family "Bacterial small subunit ribosomal RNA", at positions 59 to 515 of the family's 1533-position model. RNAcentral also lists the same sequence under 2 other names. The record is from RNAcentral.
CAGUCGAGCGGUAACAUUUCAAAAGCUUGCUUUUGAAGAUGACGAGCGGCGGACGGGUGAGUAAUGCCUGGGAAUUUGCCCAUUUGUGGGGGAUAACAGUUGGAAACGACUGCUAAUACCGCAUACGCCCUACGGGGGAAAGCAGGGGACCUUCGGGCCUUGCGCUGAUGGAUAAGCCCAGGUGGGAUUAGCUAGUAGGUGAGGUAAAGGCUCACCUAGGCGACGAUCCCUAGCUGGUCUGAGAGGAUGAUCAGCCACACUGGGACUGAGACACGGCCCAGACUCCUACGGGAGGCAGCAGUGGGGAAUAUUGCACAAUGGGGGAAACCCUGAUGCAGCCAUGCCGCGUGUGUGAAGAAGGCCUUCGGGUUGUAAAGCACUUUCAGCGAGGAGGAAAGGGUGUAAGUUAAUACCUUACAUCUGUGACGUUACUCGCAGAAGAAGCACCGGCUAACUCCGUGCCAGCAGC